GCACCCGUAGCUCAAUUGGAUAGAGCACUGGUCUUCGGAACCAGGGGUUGUAGGUUCGAAUCCUACCGGGUGU
This 73-nucleotide transfer RNA is filed under the name Planctomycetaceae bacterium. RNAcentral describes it as "tRNA-Arg". It matches the Rfam family "tRNA". From Rfam's summary of the family: Transfer RNA (tRNA) molecules are approximately 80 nucleotides in length. Lineage: Bacteria; Pseudomonadati; Planctomycetota; Planctomycetia; Planctomycetales; Planctomycetaceae. The record is from RNAcentral.